Molecule: small nucleolar RNA, 65 nt
Organism: Penaeus indicus
Lineage: Eukaryota; Metazoa; Arthropoda; Malacostraca; Decapoda; Penaeidae
Source: RefSeq, a predicted model, not a curated record
CAUUAUAUGAUGAUACAUAUACCGCCCCAGUCUGAAAGUCUGAUGAUGGUUAUCUCUGAAAGAAA